RNAcentral lists this ribosomal RNA (1346 nucleotides) under uncultured bacterium. RNAcentral describes it as "bacterial SSU rRNA". It matches the Rfam family "Bacterial small subunit ribosomal RNA", at positions 28 to 1381 of the family's 1533-position model. The record is from RNAcentral.
GACGAACGCUGGCGGCGUGCUUAACACAUGCAUUUCGAACGGAAAGGCCCUGCUUUUGUGGGGUGCUCGAGUGGCGAACGGGUGAGUAACACGUGAGUAACCUGCCCUUGACUUUGGGAUAACUUCAGGAAACUGGGGCUAAUACCGGAUAGGAGCUCCUGCUGCAUGGUGGGGGUUGGAAAGUUUCGGCGGUUGGGGAUGGACUCGCGGCUUAUCAGCUUGUUGGUGGGGUAGUGGCUUACUAAGGCUUUGACGGGUAGCCGGCCUGAGAGGGUGACCGGCCACAUUGGGACUGAGAUACGGCCCAGACUCCUACGGGAGGCAGCAGUGGGGAAUAUUGCACAAUGGGCGGAAGCCUGAUGCAGCAACGCCGCGUGCGGGAUGACGGCCUUCGGGUUGUAAACCGCUUUCGCCUGUGACGAAGCGUGAGUGACGGUAAUGGGUAAAGAAGCACCGGCUAACUACGUGCCAGCAGCCGCGGUGAUACGUAGGGUGCGAGCGUUGUCCGGAUUUAUUGGGCGUAAAGGGCUCGUAGGUGGUUGAUCGCGUCGGAAGUGUAAUCUUGGGGCUUAACCCUGAGCGUGCUUUCGAUACGGGUUGACUUGAGGAAGGUAGGGGAGAAUGGAAUUCCUGGUGGAGCGGUGGAAUGCGCAGAUAUCAGGAGGAACACCAGUGGCGAAGGCGGUUCUCUGGGCCUUUCCUGACGCUGAGGAGCGAAAGCGUGGGGAGCGAACAGGCUUAGAUACCCUGGUAGUCCACGCUGUAAACGGUGGGUACUAGGUGUGGGGUCCAUUCCACGGGUUCCGUGCCGUAGCUAACGCUUUAAGUACCCCGCCUGGGGAGUACGGCCGCAAGGCUAAAACUCAAAGGAAUUGACGGGGCCCCGCACAAGCGGCGGAGCAUGCGGAUUAAUUCGAUGCAACGCGUAGAACCUUACCUGGGUUUGACAUGGAUCGGGAGUGCUCAGAGAUGGGUGUGCCUCUUUUGGGGUCGGUUCACAGGUGGUGCAUGCCUGUCGUCAGCUCGUGUCGUGAGAUGUUGGGUUAAGUCCCGCAACGAGCGCAACCCUUGUUCACUGUUGCCAGCACGUUAUGGUGGGGACUCAGUGGAGACCGCCGGGGUCAACUCGGAGGAAGGUGGGGAUGACGUCAAGUCCUCAUGCCCCUUAUGUCCAGGGCUUCACGCAUGCUACAAUGGCUGGUACAGAGAGUGGCGAGCCUGUGAGGGUGAGCGAAUCUCGGAAAGCCGGUCUCAGUUCGGAUUGGGGUCUGCAACUCGACCUCAUGAAGUCGGAGUCGCUAGUAAUCGCAGAUCAGCAACGCUGCGGUGAAUAAAUUCCCGGGGCU